CAGAUACGGAAGUGCGAGCUUUCCCCGUCUUAAUCAGUGACCAGAGUGAGAUUGUGGACACCAAUGGAGCUGGAGAUGCAUUUGUGGGAGGUUUCCUCUCGCAGCUUGUGUACGACCGGCCGCUGACCGAGUGCAUCCGUGGCGGGCACUACGCUGCCAGCGUGAUCAUCAAGCGUUCUGGCUGCACCUUCCCAGAGAAGCCUGACUUCCACUGAUGUUGGGCUACCCGAGAGAUCAAACAGGGGUCUCUGCCUCUUCCUCCCCCUUCUCCCGCGUCCCCAGUGACCCUGCACUGACGCUUCUGUACUUCUAUUCAUGUUUGUUAUCUGUGUUCCAGCAGCCCUUUUCUUCUCCCUGACACAACAGCGACUCACAUGUAUUACAUUAGAGGUCGUGCCCCCCGGUGAGGCUCCGUUCAGCCCCAGUACUUAGUAACCCCCCCCCCCCCACAUCACCACACCCCAGCACAGUUCCCAGGAGCGGCACUAUACGAAAACACACCGCCUCUGAUCUAGCAGUGCUUCCAUACAUAUAUUCUGCUUUGCUUGCCUAAUCCAGGUGAGAAGAAAUUAAGUUCAAUGGGUAUAAAGUUGAUUUGAUAGACCUUGCCCUGGUUUAAAAACGGGCGCCGUUAGCGAGGAGAAUUUCUGUCUCCUUUUUCCCACCCAUGAUUCUACAUUCACACUCAAACAGUAGGCUCUAUCCCAGUGACGAAGGGAGGGGAAACUGCGCCCGGGGCAUGAACUUCCUGUGCGACCCCUCCCUCCCCUGACCCCUCUCACCCCCGACAUGCCCCGGCCCCCCUCCUGACACGUGACUGCAAUGGCGGCGGCCGGGGUGAGCCACCCUGGAUAUCCCCAUUGCAGCUGUGCCUCUGCUCAGUCCUGCUUCUGUGGUGAGGCUGGUCUGAGGUCAUGUGGCCUGGAGCCAUCUUUAGGAACGGUCAGGACUGGGCUCUUUGGCCCCAGGGUCCUUUGGGGGUACAGGCAAGGCCCCGAAUAGGCCCCUCUCUCUUGUCUCAGAGGACUUGAAGGCUGCAUCUCAAAGGCUCGAACCGUGUGAAAAGGAAGUACAGAAAUAUUCAUGCAGGGGAUCUCAUCAGGAUAUGCCAAAAUGGAAUCUUUGAUGUCAACGCACAGUUUUAAGACAACAGUGUACUUCGUAUAAAUAAGAAAUCUUCUGAAUUUUAUUUGUAUUGCAGUAUUCAAGGGAGGUGUUCUGAAAAUGCCAUUCAUUUACUUUGCUAUGUAAUUUGAUACUGAUAAAUAAAAUAAUUGUUAUACGGGA
Molecule: long non-coding RNA, 1287 nt
Organism: Sphaerodactylus townsendi
Lineage: Eukaryota; Metazoa; Chordata; Lepidosauria; Squamata; Sphaerodactylidae
Exons: 2
Source: RefSeq, a predicted model, not a curated record